GUGGAGGUAGUUUAGUUGGUAAAACGUUUUAUUUAACAAUAAUCUUUUAGAUUUAUGUUAUAAGUGAAAAUACAAAAAGUUGUGGGUUCAACUCCCACCUUCCACG
Entamoeba invadens IP1 is the source of this 106-nucleotide transfer RNA. It matches the Rfam family "tRNA". From Rfam's summary of the family: Transfer RNA (tRNA) molecules are approximately 80 nucleotides in length. Their secondary structure includes four short double-helical elements and three loops (D, anti-codon, and T loops). The record is from Rfam. NCBI's taxonomy places the organism in Eukaryota, Evosea, Mastigamoebida, Endamoebidae.